Long non-coding RNA from Rhododendron vialii, 1442 nucleotides. RefSeq lists it as uncharacterized. The transcript has 2 exons. The record is from RefSeq and is a predicted model, not a curated record. NCBI's taxonomy places the organism in Eukaryota, Viridiplantae, Streptophyta, Magnoliopsida, Ericales, Ericaceae.
GAGAGAGAGAGAGAGAGAGAGAGAGAAUGGUUGUUCAGCAGAAAGGAGCUUCUGGAUUCUCACUCCAUUGUAACGGGUAACCAGUAAGGUAGUUUCGAUUUUGUAUAACUUUCAUUGUUCUUGGCAAUAAUAUCUCACAUGGAAACAAAAGCCCAAAACGGAACUGCUGAUGAUCAAUUGAGAUUUCAUGGUCGCAACAAUUGUGUUUAUAUGAGAGAUUGCAUGGUCUCUUGAAUUGAACCUUAAUCUGUUGAUAAUCUUUUUACACCUAUUAAUUAAUCUGCGACAAGAAGAAAUUUCUUGCUCCAUUUCAUGUUCCAAUUGAGGCAAAUUGUCAACUACUUUGUGUGUAUUACUGUACGAGCUCUUGCUCCUAUAUGCAUUUAUCUUGUGAUUAAAUUACAGGCAAUAAAAUCAAAAGACGCAUGGUAACGAUGAUAUUGACCGGCAUUGCUAAAGUACUGUAAUACAUUGAUCAUGCCUGGCCUUUAAUAUGGGUCCUUGAUUCAGAAUGUCAACAAGCAGGCCAAUGCGUUUAACUUUUCAAAAUUUGAAUUUUUCGUGAGUCCAAAAUUACGUUGCAUAGUGAUCUUUGGAGUUUGUCGUGUGGCGAAUCCUUGCAUUUACAUGGGGUCCAAUUUGGAUCUCGCUAGAAGUAAGGGGAGUUUAUUUUUCACGUGUCUUGGAUCGAGUUCAAUCCAGGGGCUGUAACUUGUAUGAUGGCAUUUUGGUUGUGUCAGUUGGGGUUCUUAGUAUCAUUCUCGUUUGAAGCCGUAUUCUGAAGAUGAAAUCAAUGAUGUGGAGGCUAAAUCAUGUUCCAGAUUUCUCCUAGUUCACUUCUUUUCCUCCCAGUCUUCCAUUAUGCUCAGUUGCUGGUGGUGAUUUGCUUGAUCAAGUUAUUUUAGGCCUAUCUUCUGUUAUCUCAAGCGGUAGAAUGGGGAGAUUUCUUCUUUGAUACCACUUCUGACUGGCCUGUAUUCAGUUUGUGCUCUAUUGAGGGAAGAUCAAGUCCUUGCAAGCUACUAUGUUCAAAUCAUUGGAAGUGAAACCCAACUAUUGCUGCUGCUCAAAGUCCAUUAGCUGAUGACGUUCCAAUUCCGUCUGCUGCUGCUGCUGCUCCAAGUAAAUUUGCAGUUCCAUUUCCAUGAGCUGUCGGUGUGUCAAUUCCCAGAAAUUUCUAUGAGGAAUCCUAGUUCCAGUUGCUGCUGCUGCUGCUGCUUCAAGUAAAUUUGAUGUUGGUGAGUCAAUUCAUAGUGCUGCUACUUCUGAUGACGUUAGUGCUCUCAAAGACAUCAGUUGGCUUGGGCUUCUUGUUUUGCUCUUUGUAUCAAUGGCUCCAUGUUUCAGAUGCCAUUUUGAACAUUUUUCUUUGGUUUCGGUUGUGGUUGAUCUCCUAUUAACUCGCUUCCUUUUUUUGUAAUUCCUAUCUCUUUUCUCUAUUA